GACGCUGACCUUGUGUUUGGCGCCCUGGCGGCGGGAUACGUUUUCAGGGACCAAGGUUGAGAGGUUCAGGGCUGUGCUUGGAGCAUCGACGCCACACAUUCACCAUCCAUUCCUGUCACGAACAGGCAAUUCCAUCCUCAGGCAGCUCAAGUGGACGAAGUUCUCCAUGUGCCUGGUGGGUUUGGGGGAAUCAAACAAGCCCGCUUUUUCUCGGAGAGACUGCCGUCCUGCCCGAGCUUGAUACUCCUCCCGAUUUUAGCACCCAAAAAUCACCCCGAUUCUUGAGACGCAUCAAGGAUAUUUACUAGCCAGACUUCCAUGGUGUCUACAUGAAAGGUUUAUGCGAAGGAGGACGCCACCCUCACUGUCAGAGCGUGGUCGAGGCUUUUGACAAGCGCCAAAGGGGUGAUUACAGUUCCCUAGGAUCACCCCCGCAUUGAUCUGCCACAGGAGAACUAAAUCUCUCGUGCCUCUUGAUUAUUGCUAGUGAGAGCAGCAGGAGCUUGAUGGUGCAGAACUACCACUUUCUGUUCUAUCUGGAAGCGUCCCAGUUGUCACCGCACCAAAUGCCACGAACUUUCAAUUGCUAUCUAGGGCAUAAAAUGAGUAACUAUCACAAAUAUUCUUUUG
This is a long non-coding RNA of Selaginella moellendorffii, 630 nucleotides long. RefSeq lists it as uncharacterized. The transcript has 2 exons. The record is from RefSeq and is a predicted model, not a curated record. Lineage: Eukaryota; Viridiplantae; Streptophyta; Lycopodiopsida; Selaginellales; Selaginellaceae.